This 446-nucleotide ribosomal RNA is filed under the name uncultured bacterium. RNAcentral describes it as "bacterial SSU rRNA". It matches the Rfam family "Bacterial small subunit ribosomal RNA", at positions 330 to 793 of the family's 1533-position model. The record is from RNAcentral.
AGAGCACUCCUAGCGGGAGGCAGCAGUGGGGAAUCUUGGACAAUGGGGCAACCCUGAUCCAGCCAUGCCGCGUGAGUGAUGAAGGCCUUAGGGUCGUAAAGCUCUUUCGCCUGUGAAGAUAAUGACGGUAGCAGGUAAAGAAACCCCGGCUAACUCCGUGCCAGCAGCCGCGGUAAUACGGAGGGUGCGAGCGUUAAUCGGAAUUACUGGGCGUAAAGCGCGCGUAGGCGGCUUGAUAAGCCGGUUGUGAAAGCCCCGGGCUCAACCUGGGAACGGCAUCCGGAACUGUCAGGCUAGAGUGCAGGAGAGGAAGGUAGAAUUCCCGGUGUAGCGGUGAAAUGCGUAGAGAUCGGGAGGAAUACCAGUGGCGAAGGCGGCCUUCUGGACUGACACUGACGCUGAGGUGCGAAAGCGUGGGUAGCAAACAGGAUUAGAUACCCUGGUAA